RNAcentral lists this ribosomal RNA (468 nucleotides) under uncultured bacterium. RNAcentral describes it as "partial 16S ribosomal RNA". It matches the Rfam family "Bacterial small subunit ribosomal RNA", at positions 28 to 507 of the family's 1533-position model. The record is from RNAcentral.
GACGAACGCUGGCGGCGUGCUUAACACAUGCGAGUCGAACGGAAAGGCCCUGCUUUUGUGGGGUGCUCGAGUGGCGAAAGGGUGAGUAAAACGUGAGUAACCUGCCCUUGACUUUGGGAUAAAUUCAGGAAACUGGGGCUAAUACCGGAUAGGAGCUCCUGCUGCAUGGGGGGGGUUGGAAAGUUUCGGCGGUUGGGGAUGGACUAGCGGCUUAUCAGCUUGUUGGUGGGGUAGUGGCUUACCAAGGCUUUGACGGGUAGCCGGCCUGAGAGGGUGACCGGCCACAUUGGGACUGAGAUACGGCCCAGACUCCUACGGUAGGCAGCAGUGGGGAAUAUUGCACAAUGGGCGGAAGCCUGAUGCAGCAACGCCGCGUGCGGGAUGACGGCCUUCGGGUUGUAAACCGCUUUCGCCUGUGACGAAGCGUGAGUGACGGUAAUGGGUAAAGAAGCACCGGCUAACUACGUG